UCAUAACAUUAUUUUCCAGUGCAUUAAAGGCAUAUUGUAUUGAUACUUUUCUCUUCUCAGCAGAUGGAAUGAUCCAGUUGAGCAACCUUCUUUGCUUAUAGUUUUCUACUCAGCAGAUGACAGUGGUUGUACCUUACUGCACAUGAAGAUGACAACUUAGGAAAUGGAAAUGUAUUGCUUUCAUCAAGAUUCUUCAGUGAGAAGGAAAUUUUAGGCACUGACUGGUGAGUAUGCUUAAGGCUGAGCUAUGUUUUGGUGUGGCAUU
This 265-nucleotide long non-coding RNA is filed under the name Cyanistes caeruleus (blue tit). Its description in RNAcentral is "lncRNA (ENSCCEG00000000584.1)". The record is from RNAcentral. Lineage: Eukaryota; Metazoa; Chordata; Aves; Passeriformes; Paridae.